UCUGGACGCGGGGGGGGGGAGGGGGGGAGGGAGGGGGAGGGGGGAGCCAGAGGGGGAAGCGGGGGAGCCGGACCAAGAGCGAGAGGAGUGGGGGGAGCGGGGGGGGAGGAGAGGGGAGGGGAGAGGACGGGGGGGGGGAGGUACCGAGGGCGGGGAGUACCAGGGAGCCAUCGCGACGAGGCUCUCGUUCCCGUGCCAACGCCACCCUGUCGGAUGGGCUGAACAUAUGAACAAAUGAGCAGAUGAACGUAUGAACAGAUGAACGUAUGAACAGAUGAACGUAUGAACUGAUGAACGUAUGAACAGAUGAACGGAUGAACAGAUGAACGGAUGAACGUAUGAACAGAUGAACAGAUGAACGGAUGAACAGAUGAACGUAUGAACUGAUGAACGGAUGAACAGAUGAACGGAUGAACAGAUGAACGUAUGAACAGAUGAACGUAUGAACGGAUGAACAGAUGAACGUAUGCACUGAUGAACGUAUGAACAGAUGAACGUAUGAAUGAACAGAUGAACGUAUGAACAGAUGAACGGAUGAACGUAUGAACAGAUGAACGUAUGAACAGAUGAACGGAUGAACAUAUGAACGGAUGAACAGAUGGUUUUUGUCACGUAUUUUCUGGUGCUUCUGGGGUCUAAACUUUAUUAUUUGUAAUAGCUCAGGGUGGUCUCUUGUAAGACAGUAUUUAUUGUUUGUGGAUCAAAUUAAGAUUAUUACAUGUGCCUUAACUACAAAAUGUACAAAAUGUGUUUCCGAAGAAGAUUUCUACCGAAGGAAUUGUAUCUACUCCAACUGUACUGCCUCAGCAAUUGUUUACCGUGUGUCCUUAUGUUAUGUCGUUUCGUGGGAUUUUCUGUGUAUUUGUAUAAAUUCUUAAUAAUAAAUCGUUUAUCUCAA
Long non-coding RNA from Gadus macrocephalus (Pacific cod), 898 nucleotides. RefSeq lists it as uncharacterized. NCBI's taxonomy places the organism in Eukaryota, Metazoa, Chordata, Actinopteri, Gadiformes, Gadidae. The transcript is spliced from 2 exons. The record is from RefSeq and is a predicted model, not a curated record.